GGGCGUGUAGCGCAGGGGUAGCGCGCUUCCCUUGCAAGGAAGAGGUCACCGGUUCGAAUCCGGUCUCGUCCA
Molecule: transfer RNA, 72 nt
Filed under: Lachancea thermotolerans
Lineage: Eukaryota; Fungi; Ascomycota; Saccharomycetes; Saccharomycetales; Saccharomycetaceae
Also listed under: 1 other name
Description: tRNA-Ala
Rfam family: tRNA
About the family: Transfer RNA (tRNA) molecules are approximately 80 nucleotides in length. Their secondary structure includes four short double-helical elements and three loops (D, anti-codon, and T loops). Further hydrogen bonds mediate the characteristic L-shaped molecular structure. tRNAs have two regions of fundamental functional importance: the anti-codon, which is responsible for specific mRNA codon recognition, and the 3' end, to which the tRNAs corresponding amino acid is attached (by aminoacyl-tRNA synthetases). tRNAs cope with the degeneracy of the genetic code in two manners: having more than one tRNA (with a specific anti-codon) for a particular amino acid; and 'wobble' base-pairing, i.e. permitting non-standard base-pairing at the 3rd anti-codon position.
Source: RNAcentral